Molecule: ribosomal RNA, 253 nt
Filed under: uncultured bacterium
Lineage: Bacteria
Description: partial 16S ribosomal RNA
Rfam family: Bacterial small subunit ribosomal RNA
Source: RNAcentral
UACAGAGGUCCCGAGCGUUGUUCGGAUUCAUUGGGCGUAAAGGGUGCGUAGGCGGCGGGGCAAGUCUGAUGUGAAAUCCCGGGGCUCAACCCCGGAACUGCAUUGGAUAUUGCCUUGCUUGAGUACUGGAGAGGGAACUGGAAUUUACGGUGUAGCAGUGAAAUGCGUAGAGAUCGUAAGGAAGGCCAGUGGCGAAGGCGAGUUCCUGGACAGUUACUGACGCUGAGGCACGAAGGCCAGGGGAGCAAACGGG